This is a non-coding RNA of Ceratotherium simum simum (southern white rhinoceros), 496 nucleotides long. NCBI's taxonomy places the organism in Eukaryota, Metazoa, Chordata, Mammalia, Perissodactyla, Rhinocerotidae. The record is from the annotation of a RefSeq genome assembly.
UAACCUCCAAUCAGAGACGGGAUGCCCAGGACUUCAUCCAUUAGGGGACCAGAACUCUGAGCAGGCAGACACCUGCCCAGUUCUGCUCCACCCUGCCAUGGGCUCCAGGCUCCUGUGCUGUGUGGCCCUUUGUCUCCUGGGAGCAGGCCCCAUGGAUGCUGCAAUCACCCAGAAGCCAAGAUACCAUAUUAUACAAUCAGGACAGGAGAUGAUCCUGGAAUGUUCUCAGAAUAUGAAACAUUUUUCAACGUUCUGGUAUGGACAAGACCUAGUACAGGGGCCAAGGCUGAUCCAUUAUUCUAUUGGUGUUGGCAGCACUGCCAAAGGGGAUAUCACGGAAGGGUGCAGUAUCUCCCAAAAGAAGAAUGAGGAUUUCCCCCUGACCCUGGAAUCAGCCAGCAUCAACCAGACCUCCCUGUUCCUCUGUGCCAGCAGUGAAUCCACAGCGCUGCACAGCCAGCUGCUCUCUGCACAAAAAGGGCAGCCACGAGCAUGA